Molecule: non-coding RNA, 31 nt
Filed under: Rattus norvegicus (Norway rat)
Lineage: Eukaryota; Metazoa; Chordata; Mammalia; Rodentia; Muridae
Source: RNAcentral
AUGCCACAAACCUAGUAGGGACUUGUUCUCU